RNAcentral lists this ribosomal RNA (849 nucleotides) under Lactobacillus iners. Its description in RNAcentral is "bacterial SSU rRNA". It matches the Rfam family "Bacterial small subunit ribosomal RNA", at positions 58 to 865 of the family's 1533-position model. The record is from RNAcentral. Lineage: Bacteria; Bacillati; Bacillota; Bacilli; Lactobacillales; Lactobacillaceae.
CAAGUCGAGCGAGUCUGCCUUGAAGAUCGGAGUGCUUGCACUCUGUGAAACAAGAUACAGGCUAGCGGCGGACGGGUGAGUAACACGUGGGUAACCUGCCCAAGAGAUCGGGAUAACACCUGGAAACAGAUGCUAAUACCGGAUAACAACAGAUGAUGCCUAUCAACUGUUUAAAAGAUGGUUCUGCUAUCACUCUUGGAUGGACCUGCGGUGCAUUAGCUAGUUGGUAGGGUAACGGCCUACCAAGGCGAUGAUGCAUAGCCGAGUUGAGAGACUGAUCGGCCACAUUGGGACUGAGACACGGCCCAAACUCCUACGGGAGGCAGCAGUAGGGAAUCUUCCACAAUGGACGCAAGUCUGAUGGAGCAACGCCGCGUGAGUGAAGAAGGGUUUCGGCUCGUAAAGCUCUGUUGUUGGUGAAGAAGGACAGGGGUAGUAACUGACCUUUGUUUGACGGUAAUCAAUUAGAAAGUCACGGCUAACUACGUGCCAGCAGCCGCGGUAAUACGUAGGUGGCAAGCGUUGUCCGGAUUUAUUGGGCGUAAAGCGAGUGCAGGCGGCUCGAUAAGUCUGAUGUGAAAGCCUUCGGCUCAACCGGAGAAUUGCAUCAGAAACUGUCGAGCUUGAGUACAGAAGAGGAGAGUGGAACUCCAUGUGUAGCGGUGAAAUGCGUAGAUAUAUGGAAGAACACCGGUGGCGAAGGCGGCUCUCUGGUCUGUUACUGACGCUGAGGCUCGAAAGCAUGGGUAGCGAACAGGAUUAGAUACCCUGGUAGUCCAUGCCGUAAACGAUGAGUGCUAAGUGUUGGGGAGGUUUCCGCCUCUCAGUGCUGCAGCUAACGCAUUAAGC